RNAcentral lists this ribosomal RNA (245 nucleotides) under uncultured bacterium. RNAcentral describes it as "partial 16S ribosomal RNA". It matches the Rfam family "Bacterial small subunit ribosomal RNA", at positions 528 to 772 of the family's 1533-position model. The record is from RNAcentral.
UAGGUGGCAAGCGUUGUUCGGUAUAACUGGGCGUAAAGGAUGCGUAGGCGGUUAAAUAAGUUAUAUGUUAAAUAUAUAGGCUUAACCUGUAGAAAGCAUAUAAAACUGUUUAACUAGAGUGCAGGAGAGGUAAGUGGAAUUCCUAGUGUAGCGGUGAAAUGCGUAGAGAUUAGGAAGAACACCAGUGGCGAAGGCGACUUACUGGACUGUAACUGACGCUGAGGCAUGAGAGCAUGGGGAGCAAA